AAUAAGAUGCCUGAUUAAAGGAUUAUCUUGAUAGGGUAAAACAUGUAUGCUAUACUCUUAUUG
This 63-nucleotide transfer RNA is filed under the name Empoascanara plamka. Its description in RNAcentral is "tRNA-Ile". The record is from RNAcentral. Lineage: Eukaryota; Metazoa; Arthropoda; Insecta; Hemiptera; Cicadellidae.